CCUACGGGUGGCAGCAGUGGGGAAUAUUGGACAAUGGGCGAAAGCCUGAUCCAGCCAUGCCGCGUGUGUGAAGAAGGCCUUCGGGUUGUAAAGCACUUUCAGUGGGGAAGAAAGCCUUGGGGCUAAUACCCUCGAGGAAGGACAUCACCCACAGAAGAAGCACCGGCUAACUCCGUGCCAGCAGCCGCGGUAAUACGGAGGGUGCGAGCGUUAAUCGGAAUUACUGGGCGUAAAGCGCGCGUAGGCGGUCUGAUAAGCCGGUUGUGAAAGCCCCGGGCUCAACCUGGGAACGGCAUCCGGAACUGUCAGGCUAGAGGGCAGGAGAGGAAGGUAGAAUUCCCGGUGUAGCGGUGAAAUGCGUAGAGAUCGGGAGGAAUACCAGUGGCGAAGGCGGCCUUCUGGACUGACACUGACGCUGAGGUGCGAAAGCGUGGGUAGCAAACAGGAUUAGAUACCCCGGUAGUC
This 465-nucleotide ribosomal RNA is filed under the name Vreelandella stevensii. Its description in RNAcentral is "partial 16S ribosomal RNA". It matches the Rfam family "Bacterial small subunit ribosomal RNA", at positions 338 to 795 of the family's 1533-position model. Lineage: Bacteria; Pseudomonadati; Pseudomonadota; Gammaproteobacteria; Oceanospirillales; Halomonadaceae. The record is from RNAcentral.